AGGAAGUGAUUGUCGGAACCAUGC
RNAcentral lists this non-coding RNA (24 nucleotides) under Arabidopsis thaliana (thale cress). Lineage: Eukaryota; Viridiplantae; Streptophyta; Magnoliopsida; Brassicales; Brassicaceae. The record is from RNAcentral.